Molecule: long non-coding RNA, 452 nt
Filed under: Ananas comosus (pineapple)
Lineage: Eukaryota; Viridiplantae; Streptophyta; Magnoliopsida; Poales; Bromeliaceae
Description: long non-coding RNA (ACOM_LNC042478)
Source: RNAcentral
UUAGUGCCUUAGUGGCCUUAGACCUGACAAUCUUUAUCCAUACUCACGGAUUUUCGCUGAUUAUCUGCAAAUUUAUGGAUAUGAAUACUAGUUUUUUUUAGCCAAAAAAUUAUAGGUAAAACGAGUAGGUACCCGUUGAGUGAUAGAUAUUUAGGACAAUCCGCAGGUACCCACGAAUACCGGCAUAUAUAUUUUUUAAUUAAAAAAUAUGUAUUUUUUAUAUUAUUGACUCUAUAAUAGUAAAAAUUUUAUUAAUUUUGUAUCUUAAAAAUUUGGGACGAUAAAAUACUUUUAUAUUAUAUAAUGUAUAUACUUUAAAGAUUUUAUAUUGUUAAUUAUAUGUUAUGAUAUUUCAAAUAAGGAGUUACGUUAUGUUUUUAAUAUAUAUAUAUGUUUUGUAUUUAGAAAGCAUAGGAGUAGGAAAAAGAAAAAAACUUGUGGGUAACUCGCAU